GAUGAAGAACGCAGCGAAAUGCGAUAAGUAGUGUGAAUUGCAGAAUUCAGUGAAUCAUCGAAUCUUUGAACGCACAUUGCGCCCCUUGGUAUUCCAUGGGGCAUGCCUGUUCGAGCGUCAUUUGUACCUUCAAGCUCUGCUUGGUGUUGGGUGUUUGUCCUUGCUCUAGUGGCGGGACUCGCCUUAAAGUAAUUGGCAGCCAGUGUUUUGGUUUUGAAGCGCAGCACAAGUCGCGAUUCAAGUCUAUACGCUAGUUUCCACAAGUCUUUUAUCACUUUUGACCUCGGAUCAGGUAGGGAUACCCGCUGAACUUAAGCAUAUCAUAAGCGGAGGA
This 334-nucleotide unclassified non-coding RNA is filed under the name soil metagenome. RNAcentral describes it as "partial contains 5.8S ribosomal RNA, internal transcribed spacer 2, and large subunit ribosomal RNA". The stretch from base 1 to 120 matches the Rfam family "5.8S ribosomal RNA", at positions 35 to 154 of the family's 154-position model. The record is from RNAcentral.